Physeter macrocephalus (sperm whale) is the source of this 3094-nucleotide long non-coding RNA. RefSeq lists it as uncharacterized. Lineage: Eukaryota; Metazoa; Chordata; Mammalia; Artiodactyla; Physeteridae. The transcript is spliced from 4 exons. The record is from RefSeq and is a predicted model, not a curated record.
UACAAAUGAAAAAAUACGUAUGAGACAAGGGCAUAAAACGUACAGAAAAAAUUUAAAAUUCUUUGUAGGAAUGAGCUGGAUCAUUCUAUUUCUCUGUACGGUUCUGGAUUAGAAUUGAUCAAAAGAUGAACUUGAGUCAUAACUGGGAGUUAGAAGUGAUUCUCUCACAAUCAUUUUGGCAUCUUGAUACCUAUCACAGUGGUGCCUCAGUCUAAGACACCACACUAAGGUAGCAAGUGUCCCAUUCCAACAUCUUGUUAGACUAAUUUAAGCAUGGGUAUCAGUGACUGGCAGAAAUGUCAUAGGACUGAACCUUAGCUAUAAAGGAGUAUAGAAAUGUACUUUCUAGUUUUCUAGCCUCUUAAAACAUGUCAGUGUCCUGCAGCCAGAGACCACCAUGAUCACAGUUAUAGUUGAACAAGUCAGGUUUAUUAUUUGUUACAGCAAGGGAGAACACACACUGUGGGGAACCAUGGGGAAUCCUCAGCAAGAGGAUAUUAGGAUUUGGGCUUUGGUUGAGUGACUUUAUAGGAUUUGGGCUUUGGUUGAGUGACUUUAUAGGAUUUGGGCUUUGGUUGAUUGAGUUGUGGAGAGUCUAAGGAAGCUAAGGUUUGCUCUGGAUUGGAUGCCAUCAGCAAGUGUGUGUGAGGGAAUUCUAUGAUUAUCUCAAAUUUUAUACAUAGGGAGGGCAGACUAGGGUGAGGAAACAGGUGUCAUUAAUUGAUAAAAAAUUAACAGUCAUUCAUUUUAGCAGAAAGAGAGUGAUGUUUGGUAUUAUGUGGAUGGCACAGCAACUUAUUUUUGUCUGUGCUUAGACAAAAUUAUGUUGUGGACUUGCUUUAUCUGAUUUAAUCAUGUUCUCAGAAUGACCUUGUCUGAGUUGGUAUUCUGUGAGAUACCUGGUUUACGUCCAAAAGGAGAAUAACAGCGUUGAGUGCCUGGCCAGCUUCUGAAUGUCAGGGGCUGUUCCUUUCUCUUCUUUUUCAAGUACAGGCUGGAAGGGAAUUUGAGUGACUGCUCAGUAAGCAAAUUUGUUGUAUCUGCCUCAGGUUUCAUCAUACUUAAUGAUGAAGCUCUGGAGUUUCCCACCAAAGUCAGGUACAAGUCAAGUAUGCCCACUAUCCAUGGUUAUUUAAUAUUUCCCAAAAGUUUAGUCAAAGCAGUAAGAUAAAAAUGAAAUAAAAGAAAAAUCUUUGGAAAGGAAGAGACAAAUUAUUACUUGCGUAUAAUUGCCUCCCUAGGAACCGAAGAAAACCAACUGAAGAAUUAUUAGAAGUAAGGAGAGUUCAGUAAGGCAGCUGCUUACAAAAUCAGUAUACAAAAGUCAAUGCUUAUGCUUUAAAUCAACAAUCAUCAGAAUAUACAAUUUUAAAAAGGCAUUAAAAUAGAGACUAAAAUAGAAAAUAUCUAGGAAUAGACUUGACAUAAGAAAAGUAUGCAGGACCCAUAUAAAUAAAACUGUAAAACUUUCCUGGGAGACUUGAAGACUUAAAUAAAUGGUAGGGCAUACCACAUUCUUGGAUGGCAUAACUCAAUAAUUCAGCCAUUUUAAUUCUAAUAAAAAUCAAAAGUAUUUUUCUUUUUAACGAGACGAUAUAAUCCUUAGGUCACCUGGGAAGCUUAAUAAAAGGCUGAAGAAUUUUUAGAAGAUUGAGAGGUGACUUACACUGCUAGAAAGAAAGAUUUAUUAUAAAAGUAGAAUGAUUCUUGUGUAAGAAUAAAAAUAGCCCACCAAACAGGCUCAAGUAUAUACAUAUGGUUUAGGAUAAAGGUGGAAUUGAAAUGUUCUUAUAUUUCUGCUUAAGAUACAGAAAGCUGCUAAGCACAUCACUUCUGUCCUAAUCAUGAGAAAAUGACGGAUAAACUACAAAAUCGUUACUUUUGUUGAGCUCAUGAGAAAGAUGAGGUUGUGAGGCAACCAAGUAACCUCAUUCAGAAGAGAGACAAGCCCCUCCGAGGAGAAAGGGGCUUCACAACUGUCUCCAUUCUGGCAGAGCAUGGGGAGGAGAGGCACAGCCACUAUCCACGUGGGGAGAAGAAAUCAGCUAAAUUGUAACACAAAAUCCAUGUGUGGGUGAGUGUGUAAAUCUGGGAAAGCUGAGGUAGAAGAGGAGUUCCCACUCAGCUACAAACUCUCUUCCACAGACUUCCACCAGGUGCUCACAGGAAAUAUUGGGGGCAGGGCAGGAGGCUGGCCCUCUUGAGCCCACCUCUGAGGUCCAGGCAGAGAGAGGCAAUCAAUGGAUGUUGGGGACACAAAAUGCCAUUGACUUUCCUGGAUUUUCCUCCUUUAGGGAUCAAAAACUCUAAGCUACUGGGGGUAGGGCAGCAAACUCAGUUACCCACAGGGUUCAAAGUGAUCAGUGGAUGUGAGGCCCAAGGCCCUGCCUACUAACCUGGACAAUUUUCCCUGGACAGUAGACUAUAACCUCAAGUCUCUGGAGUGGCAGAGUCUAUUACUCCCAGGGCAGAUGGACCAAGAUGCGUUGCUUAAUAGCUGCAUGAAAAGCCUUGAUAACAUUGAACAUCCAUUUAUGAUAACUCAGCAAACUAGAACUUCCUCAAUCUGAUAAAGGACAUGUACAAAAACCCUAUGGCUACCAUUAUACUUAAUGCCGGAAGAUUGAAUCUAUAAAUUGUGGUACAUCCCUACAAUGGAAUACUUCUCAUCAUUAAGAUGGAUGAACUACUGAUACAAGCAGUGGCAUGGAUGAAUCUCAAAAGCAUUACGAUGGGACUAAUAAUAGUUCCUACUUCACAGAGUCAAUGUGAGGAUUAACAAGAAAAUCCAUGUAAAAUAGCACAACGCUUGACACUUGCAUAACCCAGCACAGAGUGAUGGAACUCUGGGUUAAAUCCCAUUAUAGUGAGAAGAGAAAAGGCUCUGGAGACAAACUAUCUACGUUUGAGACCCAGCUCUGCCGCUUCCUAGCUGUGUUGACUUGGUGUCCUCUGUGAUGGAUGGCAAAUGCUGAGCUGAAAAAACACAGAUGUUUUCCAAGACCUUGACAGAAUGGGCUCCCGCCAUUCUCUGGCUUGAAUCCAGCAGCACCAGAUCCAUAGACAUUUACUGAGGGCCUGUUAACUGCAAGAG